Molecule: ribosomal RNA, 253 nt
Filed under: uncultured bacterium
Lineage: Bacteria
Description: partial 16S ribosomal RNA
Rfam family: Bacterial small subunit ribosomal RNA
Source: RNAcentral
GACAGAGGGUGCAAACGUUGCUCGGAAUCACUGGGCGUAAAGGGCGUGUAGGCGGGGAGGUAAGUCGGGCGUGAAAUCCCUAGGCUCAACCUAGGAACUGCACUCGAAACUACCUUCCUUGAGUGUCGGAGAGGAAAGCGGAAUUCCUGGUGUAGAGGUGAAAUUCGUAGAUAUCAGGAGGAACACCAGUGGCGAAGGCGGCUUUCUGGACGAUAACUGACGCUGAGACGCGAAAGCGUGGGGAGCAAACAGG